AUGAAACCUGCUUUGAUCUUCAUUGUUGUGCUUAUGCUAUUGUGCAUCAUAAAGACUUCAGCAUCUGAUGUCCUUCACUGCGCAGGAGAGAAACAAAGCGAUGGACUGAUCCACCUCAAAAUGAAGCAUGACCUCAAAAAGGUUGCCCGUGACUGUGAGACACAAUUGCUUGUUGAUGGUAAAGUAACGGCAUAUUUUAAUGCUGAGGAAAAUCAAUGCCUCCAGCCCAUUGCCAAUAUAACAGCAAACAGCGCCAUCUUACAGAUCUGCCCUACAGGACUUGAAUGCCACCUCGUUUGCUUCAGUCUCGGUGUAAGUGUCAAAUUGUUGUGGGUUUUUCAAUAUUUUUAUAUAUACUGUUAGGGCAUUCAUUUAAUUUAAAAGCAUUAAUGAAGUUAUACUGCACUUAAUGCUUUGAUUAUGAUUUCUCUUUUUAUGUAUAAUGCAGGUCCAUGAAAAGAAGCCAUGCUUUUGUAAGUAAUUGUUUUACUACUAUUUACUAAUUUGACUGACUACAUUUUGUUUAUAAACAUAUUUGUUUAUCUUAUCAAUAGGAUAUUUUUGACUUGCCCUGUAACUUAAGCUCAAACAGUAUCAAUUAGCGAUGUACUGCAUCUGGUACUAAUGGGCAGUAAUUAGUAAUUGAAACAGUUUAUUUCAGAUUGCAGAUGCCCAAAACAAAUAAAAUUACUUUCAUUUGUAUUCUCGCUGCUCAUUCUGUUGUUUUAAGCUACCGUUAUAUUUA
RNAcentral lists this long non-coding RNA (745 nucleotides) under Danio rerio (zebrafish). RNAcentral's name for it is "lncRNA (ENSDARG00000117568.1)". The record is from RNAcentral. Lineage: Eukaryota; Metazoa; Chordata; Actinopteri; Cypriniformes; Danionidae.